This is a non-coding RNA of Ameiurus melas (black bullhead), 73 nucleotides long. The record is from the annotation of a GenBank genome assembly. NCBI's taxonomy places the organism in Eukaryota, Metazoa, Chordata, Actinopteri, Siluriformes, Ictaluridae.
GGCAGUGCUGGCUCAAUGGUUAAAGCUCUGGUUACAGAUCAGAAGGUGGGGAGUUCAAGCCCCAGCACUGCCA